CACGUAGGGUGCGAGCGUUGUCCGGAAUUAUUGGGCGUAAAGAGCUCGUAGGCGGUUUGUCGCGUCUGCUGUGAAAACCCGAGGCUCAACCUCGGGCCUGCAGUGGGUACGGGCAGACUAGAGUGCGGUAGGGGAGAUUGGAAUUCCUGGUGUAGCGGUGGAAUGCGCAGAUAUCAGGAGGAACACCGAUGGCGAAGGCAGAUCUCUGGGCCGUAACUGACGCUGAGGAGCGAAAGCAUGGGGAGCGAACAGG
Molecule: ribosomal RNA, 253 nt
Filed under: uncultured bacterium
Lineage: Bacteria
Description: partial 16S ribosomal RNA
Rfam family: Bacterial small subunit ribosomal RNA
Source: RNAcentral